CACCUUUUAACCCAACAGCCGACACCCAAGGUUUUGUGGGUUUGACGACGCGGAGGUCCUGACGGAUGGAAGCACUAACCCGAGGGGAACGCACACGUGCUCAUCUUUCAGGUUGCAAAAGAUCUGCAGUUGUCUAUCGCCCACCGUCGCCACUCGUCUGGAUUGUUGGUUUGGCUGCCAACUCCCACACGCCGGGACGCUGACCGCUCUUCUGGAUCCACAUGUGUGAAUGUACAGUAAAGGAUAACUGGACGUUCGGACAAUUAAAACGCCCAGCAGAGCAUUAACCUUUUCCUGUCUCAUUGUUGCAUUUGCGUUCAGAACACCACCCUAACCAUACCGAUGCUUAACGUAGAACCCAAAAGGCGAUGAGGUCGUCUGAGAACGACGAUGCUCCAAGGCGCUUUGCUGGGCAUCAGACACGGUCAGAAAUAAUUUUAUUACAUGAUUACACUGUAU
Long non-coding RNA from Gasterosteus aculeatus aculeatus (three-spined stickleback), 459 nucleotides. NCBI's taxonomy places the organism in Eukaryota, Metazoa, Chordata, Actinopteri, Perciformes, Gasterosteidae. The record is from Ensembl.